UCUGAAUCCUCUCCAGUUUACCUCUGUGUUGAAACAAUGAAAGAAGUUAGGUUUCAUUGACCUUCAGAUCUGGAAACUCAGCGCUCUGCACGAAUUUGUGAUGGAGCCAGCUGGUUUCUUCAGAAGAUUUUAAAGAGCAUACAUGGAGAAAAGAAGAAAUUGAAAACCGUGAAUGUCCCACUGAGAAGAACAAAGUGGACAAUCAGCAAGAUUUAAUGGCAGAAAGAGUCCCUCAUUUCCUGCAGGGCAGAAAUAACUGAAAACUAAAUCCAGUGCCUGCUGGCUGGAGACGACAGUGAGGGUGCUGCAGUGGAAUUGGGUUCCCAGCUCUG
This 332-nucleotide long non-coding RNA is filed under the name Equus asinus (donkey). RNAcentral describes it as "lncRNA (ENSEASG00005032893.1)". Lineage: Eukaryota; Metazoa; Chordata; Mammalia; Perissodactyla; Equidae. The record is from RNAcentral.